CUCGGAUUUUAUUUUUUGCAUUCCACUUAAUUACAUAAUCUGUCUUAAUUAUUCAUGCAACUUCUAAAAUAUUAUAAUUAGGUGAAAAGUUUCAAUGAGAAAAUUGUAAAGUAACAUGAAAAACUCCCUAUACAGCUUUCUGUUGCUCAAGACAUGCUACAUAAAAGUUUGUUUAAAGUAUGAGAGAAGCCUGCAAAUACGCACAAAGUGCCUCAAAUGGCCAGUCGCGUGGCAAUUUUUCAUGUAUUCACGGGUUACUUUCCAUCCUUGGGAAAACAAUAAUAAAUUACAGUUAACACAGAGCACUUAAACUUGGUCUUAGUCUUUGAUGAUCACAAGCACCUAUUUUACUGACUCACUGCACAUUUGUAAACAGCCGUCAAAACCGUGGUUCAGUUUGAGUUUAUUAAUCAUUCAACAAACAGUAAAUGGAUUACAGGUAACAUACAGACAAAGGUCUCAAAGUCAGACUGCAUUGUAAAAAUGUGGAAACAUGCGGAAAAAAAAUAUCAAACUGCAAAGAAAGGAUCAUAAGCAAUAACGAAAAAAAAAAAUAACUAGCAUUAUUGUGUGAAAUACAUCCUAACUAAGGAGGAACACCUGAGAAGUCAAAUACAAUGCUGCACUCACACAUGAAAGACUGACACAAUACACACAAAUAACUCUUAAUUCUCCUCCUUAAAAUGGAAGUCAAAUACAAUGCUAUAGUCACAUAUGAAAGAAUGACACAAUACAUAAAAAUAACACUCUUGAUUCUCAUCCUUAAAAUGGAAGUUGUGUUCUCGUAGCUCCCAUCUAAGUACAUUGGUCAGUGUCUUUCAGUAGAAGAAAAUUACUAAAACACACCAAAUUGGCCAUGCAGCCUGCAAACAAAGCACGACAUGCUUCAUGGGUACCAAAUCAUGCUGCAAGCAGCGAGCUCACAGCGCCCUCAUGCACAUCAUGGUGUCGUGCUUCUCAGCAGUGUCAAGCUCAGUAUAUAAAUUGAACUUUGUGUGAAUCCACACUAAAUAGAGUGAAAACCCAACAAAGAAAUGAACUUGACUCCUUACAGGCAGUCCAAGGUGCCAUCAAUAUGGGGCAAAAAAUGAGCAUAGUACUUGCACGUAAUCUUAUAGGGCAGUGUGUCUUAUAAACACAUCCAGCAAAGUGAACUUGAGUUGCCCCCUUCAUGUUCACACAAACCAGAUGUCAAGGGCACACUAAAGAGAAAUACUGCAUCAAUUUAGCCUGAUACAGUACUCUUUCAAAAUUCUAUUUUCAUAAAUUUUGUGGUAGAACAUUGUGGUAAAACCUUGGUAAAACAUUAUUAGUAGAGAAAAUGAACUUCAAAGUUUCCCUUUUUUGAAAUUCACGCUGAAACCUCGGCAACAGUACACCAGUGUGACGUCACAGAUUAUUUUACUUUUUUUUCAUAUUUCGGUCAUUACAACUAGGUGAAAUUUCUUUAAACUUGCUAAUUUCAGUCUUUGGCUCUUUUAGAAUACAAUACAGUUUAUCUUUACUGAUAAAAAAAUUGAACUAGGCCUGAGCAGACAUUUCCAAAACCAAUGAAGUCACGGUUAGCUGUUGCAGAAGGCAAUGUUGCCGACCAUCUUUUGUCUAUGCGUCUUUUUGGAUUAUCAAGCAUCCUCUCACCAUGAAGGUGGGUUUUUUGGUAUUGUAGAAGGGUAAUUUGCCAAUACAGCUCCCAUAAUUAUACCACCGGUGCCCCUAAGCCAAGACAGGUAAUGGGUGCACUACGAGAGUGAGUUGCCUUGAAGACUAUAUCAUUGCCAUGAACAGGAGAGGCCAAAGCAUGAACAGAAAAAGUAGACCCCUUCACUGACCUAACUCCACAACUCAUCUAUGUUUACCACUACUGAGAGAGUUCAGCAAAUCCAGCCACCAGUUUGAUCCAACCAACUACUUGACGCCAACACUUAGCUUUGAAAACAAUGAAGCAAUAAAUGCUGUUUCUGUCAAGUUCCCGUGAACAAAUUUCAUGUAGUAUCUUAUGGAGACAUUUUCUUUAACAGCACAACAGGAGAAAUACAUGGGCUGCGGAAGAAUGGCAUCACACCACCAUGAAACGUGUCACCUUUCUGAUGCCCCAUUGCCUGGGCCCUGGCACGAUGGGGCAUAAAUACCAGGGUGGCGCACAACUACUGACAUGCAGCCAGCAGGUGCUCCCAAUUUGUUUUGUGGUAAGGUAGAUGACAGGCGUGUUAUAAAAAGCACUACAGAAUGAAAAAUUCACCAUGUUGGUGGAACUGAAGUUGUGAACGAGAAGUCAAGCUGCUAGUUGAUCACAUGAGGAGGAAGCUGUUGAUUAUUGAGGUGUCCAUGACGCUCAAUACAAAGUAUAAAUGUAGGACAAGAAAACAAAAUGAAAAUGGAAACAUCUGCAGCAAAACAACUUUGUAUGGCGACAGUUAAAAAUGAGAGCAGGAAGACGAAAAGCCCCUUUUCCCUCCAGCGAGAGAAAAGGGCUGAAAAGCAGCAGUGCGGAUGUGUGAGGAGGCAUUCCUGAGACUUUCCAAGAGAAGCGUUCGUUUUGCUGUCAUCUCAAGAGCGAUUCAUGCUUCUUUUCAUGUCCUUUUUUUUUUUUUUUUGGCCUUAUGUGGGCAAAAAUGUGAAAUAAGCCAAGUUAAUAAACCAAGGUGGUAGCAGUGGAGGGCAAAGAACGUGGAACUUAUCACUCUUCUGUGCUUCCCAGGUUGGUUGGUGGCCCAACACUGCUACAACAGGCCUGCAGUACAAACCGAACUUUUCUUGGAUCUGCCCAGUUGCUUCCAUCUUCAGUACUGUGCGACUUGCCAAAAGCCUUUUAUCGCCUCUGCUAACCUGGACAUUUGAACUUCACACCUUCUGUACGCAAGCCGGACGUGUGCUGCCACCGUCGUCAACAAAGUGCAGCUCGUAACUGAGCCAGGGGCGUUUCCAAUCAUAGUGGCGGUAGCGGUGGAGCGCAAAGGACACAGCACUUAUUGCUCUGCUGUGUUUCCCAGGUUGGUUUCUUUCUCUCCAUUACUCAUCUUGCAACGUGCUCUUUCUGCUAUCACCAAUCUACAAAUUUGUGCUCAUUUGUUGUUAUUGACUGCCCUAUUUCAGAAAACCAUAAACCUGUAAAAUUGCAAAACUGUCGCGUUGCUGUGCAUGCCGCUUUGAGACAGAUGACGAGGAAUUGUUUCUGACUUUGGUGAGUUUUCACACAAUGUGACUUUUCGUAUCACAGCGGUACCUGCUCAGGCGCUGCUGAAAGUGCUAAGUGCUAUUAAUAGCAAAAGAGGUCAAUAUAGAAAGCCUUGGAAGUGCAAGUCUCGCAAACAUACAGGAAGUAAAAGCUCUUCCUCUGCCAAAGCCUCUAAGAAUGAAAAUGAAAUAAACAAACUUGCUGAAAUGGACCAAAAGCUAAACUUGCUUGUUAAUAUGGCAAACAAGGUAGAUGCAAUUGAACAGCACAUCUAAACACCUUCCGAUCACUUUGAUGAAAUUCAAAGAAAGCUCAGGAGACAUGAAAAAGAAAGAAACACUGUCAAAUAACUCGUUCAGGUUCAGGCUGACAUAGAUGCACUUGAGUGACAUAGCAUACUUCUGAGCACCGAAAUACAUGGAGUACCUCAGGCUGAUGGUGAAAACCUAUACGAAAAGGUAAAGUAUCUUGCACAGAAGCUUGAACUUGAACCUCUCUCUGAGGAAGAUGUUGUGGCUGUCCAUAGGCUUCCAGCAAAGCAAGGAAAAAUGUGCGGAAUUAUUGUCUGCCUCGUGCAGCAGGAACUCAGGGAUGCAUGGAUUGCCGAAAGGUGAGCCUUAAGGGACAGUCAGGACAACAUCUUCAUAAAUGAAAACCUAACCUCUCGCUCGAAGAAGCUCCUUGCCACUGCCAAAAAAUGGGCAAAGGAAGCGGGCUACAAGUUUGUGUGGCACUCAAAUGGAAAAGUUCUCGUGCACACGGUGAAUCGGCAGAUGUCGUUAAGAAUGAAAAUUAUCUUCGUGCUCUGUUGGAAUAAAUGCCAACUUCUCACUGCUAUCAUUUAACUCUUCGGCAAAACGAAUCAUUUCGGAUUUCUUGGCAAGGAGGAUUGGUUCACUUCUUUGGCCAAUCAAAAGAAGGGACUAUCUUUCCUACACAUGAACGUUCAGUCUCCGACAAGCUACCUGAAUUAGAAACAUAUUUUUCUGAUAUAAAUAGCUAGUGCAAUGUAGUCAUGCUGAGUGAAAUAUGGUAUUGCUCCAAUAAUGUCUUUCACCUGCCUUGCAAAAGAAGUAUUUCAUAAAAACCGAAUCACACAUCGUGGUGGAGGAGUAUGUGUUUUGAUAGAUAAUUCUCUAAUCAUAUGAACUCUUAGCCAAGUACUCUUGUAUAACAGAAAACUGUGAAAGGUCGUGUGUCCCAACACCAGGUGUACCCUUGCGGUACGUUACCACCCGCUGAACGAUUUAUUGGAACUUUUUUUUUUUUGGAGUACAUGCUAAAAUUUGCAUCAGAAAACAAAUAUAAAGUGGUCUUAAGAGGAGACUAACAUUGAUAUGAGUUCCAAUAAUGCUAAGCAAACAACACUUCAAAGAAUUCUUGUGUCAAGCGGAUGUAUAAAUGGAAACUUUUACGGGAAUAACAGAAACUAUGAAAACCACUCUUGAUCUUUUUAUAAAGAACUAUAAUCCAUUCUUAGUAACUUGUGGAGUCUUAAACUGCCCGCUUAGUGACCACAUGCCAAAAGUCAUGUUUAUCCACACAAAAGCAAAUGAAACUGAAAAAGGUAACACUGAAAAAACAUUUCAGACAAUAAACAAGCACAUGUUAGCUGCCUUUCAAGAUGCUGAGACAAGUAUCUUGGAAGGAGGUUUCUCAACAAAAUGAGGCUGAGCCAACGUACAACGUUUUCUUUAAAAAGUUCUCAGCUGUUUACGUGCAACAUUUCAUACACAA
Dermacentor andersoni is the source of this 4912-nucleotide long non-coding RNA. RefSeq lists it as uncharacterized. Lineage: Eukaryota; Metazoa; Arthropoda; Arachnida; Ixodida; Ixodidae. The record is from RefSeq and is a predicted model, not a curated record.